GGCUCAGUAGUUUAGUUGAUAAAGCACUCGUUUAACAUAAAAGAGUUGUGGGUUCGAAUUAUAUCUGAGCUA
Molecule: transfer RNA, 72 nt
Filed under: Aedes aegypti (yellow fever mosquito)
Lineage: Eukaryota; Metazoa; Arthropoda; Insecta; Diptera; Culicidae
Rfam family: tRNA
About the family: Transfer RNA (tRNA) molecules are approximately 80 nucleotides in length. Their secondary structure includes four short double-helical elements and three loops (D, anti-codon, and T loops).
Source: Rfam by way of RNAcentral